GACAGAGGGUGCAAGCGUUGUUCGGAUUUACUGGGCGUAAAGCGCGUGUAGGCGGCUUUGCAAGUCGGAUGUGAAAUCCCACGGCUCAACCGUGGAAGUGCAUCCGAAACUGCAUCGCUCGAGUCUCGGAGAGGAAGGUGGAAUGCUUGGUGUAGAGGUGAAAUUCGUAGAUAUCAAGCAGAACACCUGCGGCGAAGGCGGCCUUCUGGACGGUGACUGACGCUGAGACGCGAAAGCGUGGGGAGCAAACAGG
Molecule: ribosomal RNA, 253 nt
Filed under: uncultured bacterium
Lineage: Bacteria
Description: partial 16S ribosomal RNA
Rfam family: Bacterial small subunit ribosomal RNA
Source: RNAcentral